GAUGGUCCAAGAUGAUGGCUAUAGUAGUCCUCACUAUUGUAUGAAAUAGUGUGAUAAUAAAUGUAAUGAGGACUCCAUUUGAGUUUGGAUAUUGUCUACGAGAAUAUAAAUGUAAUGAGGAUUCCAUUUGAGAAUAUAGCUGCAAUUCAUGCAACAUCAGGCGAGAGAGACUCUUGUUCAAAAUACAGGUGGAAACACUGGCAACUCUCGGAUGGUCAUCGCUAAGAAAUUCAAGGAGUUGGAACCACCGGAGAUUUUGGAAAAGCCAGAACCACUUAAGGCAGAUACGUGAAUUAAG
Molecule: long non-coding RNA, 298 nt
Filed under: Panax ginseng (ginseng)
Lineage: Eukaryota; Viridiplantae; Streptophyta; Magnoliopsida; Apiales; Araliaceae
Description: long non-coding RNA (PGIN_LNC002745)
Source: RNAcentral